RNAcentral lists this ribosomal RNA (407 nucleotides) under uncultured bacterium. RNAcentral describes it as "partial 16S ribosomal RNA". It matches the Rfam family "Bacterial small subunit ribosomal RNA", at positions 30 to 526 of the family's 1533-position model. The record is from RNAcentral.
AUUGAACGCUGGCGGCAGGCCUAACACAUGCAAGUCGAGCGGAGCGGCGUACGGGUGUGUAAUGCCUAGGAAUCUGCCUGGCAGUGGGGGAUACCGUCCGUAAACGGGCGCUAAUCCCGUAUACUAUCUGCUGAGCCUAGGUCGGAUUGGCUAGUUGGUUGGGUAAAGGCCUACCAAGGCGACGAUCCGUAACUGGUCUGAUAGGAUGAUCAGUCACACUGGAACUGAGACACGGUCCAGAAUCCUACGGGAGGAAGCAGUGGGAAAUAGUGGACAAUGGGCGAAAGCCUGAUCCAGCCAUGCCGCGUGUGUGAAGAAGGUCUUCGGAUUGAAAAGCAGUUUAAGUUGGGAGGCGUUACCAACAGAAUAAGCACCGGCUAACUUCGUGCCAGCCGCCGCGGUAAUAC